ACUAAUUUUUGUAUUUUUAGUAGAGAUGGGGUUUCACCAUGUUGGCCAGCCUGCCCUCGAACUCCUGGGCCCAAGUGAUCUGCUCACCUCGGCCUCCUAAAGUUCUGCGAUUACAGGUGUGAGCCCCUUCGCCCAGCGUAUAUUUGAUUCUAUAGUGCUGAUAUUUUUGGUUUGAAAUGAACAGGCCUGGCUGCCUAGCAGUUGAGUGAUGCUGGUUAGCUGUUAAGGUGGAAGGUGGCCUGCUGCAGUGCAGAGUACUGAGCUGCUUCCUGUUUUCUUCUGUUUCCUCCUGAAAAAAAAAGAAGCCCUGUCCUGAAGAACAAAUGACUGUUCAAUUUAUUAAAAUGCCUGUCAACUGCCCUUCCAGUCACCCAGGCCUGGAAGAGAAAUAAUAGAGCAUGCAGUGAGCACAUCUAGCUGAUGAUAAUCACACCUCUUCCCCCUCUCUAUUCUGUUAAAUGGCAAAUCUGAUCAUAUCGACACACAUGAACUUAAAAUAUGGGGAAUGUUAUGGAAGAAAUGGCUUGUAACUUUGUAGGUACUUAUAACAUGGUGUAUGUUUUUGAUUAUGAAUAUUUCUUACUAUUACCAUGUUUCUAUUAUUAAAUUAAAAUGUUUUCUUGGUGUUACCUUUUCUCAAAAUAAAACUAGAAAUAUUUUAUAGAAA
Long non-coding RNA from Piliocolobus tephrosceles (Ugandan red Colobus), 667 nucleotides. RefSeq lists it as uncharacterized. NCBI's taxonomy places the organism in Eukaryota, Metazoa, Chordata, Mammalia, Primates, Cercopithecidae. The record is from RefSeq and is a predicted model, not a curated record. The transcript is spliced from 2 exons.